UACGUAGGGGGCGAGCGUUGUCCGGAUUUAUUGGGCGUAAAGAGCGCGUAGGCGGCCCGGAAAGUCGGAUGUGAAAACCCGGGGCUCAACCCCGGGCCUGCAUCCGAUACUCCCGGGCUGGAGGCAGGUAGGGGAGAUCGGAAUUCCUGGUGUAGCGGUGAAAUGCGCAGAUAUCAGGAGGAACACCGGUGGCGAAGGCGGAUCUCUGGGCCUGUCCUGACGCUGAGGCGCGAAAGCUAGGGGAGCAAACGGG
Molecule: ribosomal RNA, 253 nt
Filed under: uncultured bacterium
Lineage: Bacteria
Description: partial 16S ribosomal RNA
Rfam family: Bacterial small subunit ribosomal RNA
Source: RNAcentral